GAUGAAGAACGUAGCGAAAUGCGAUAAGUAAUGUGAAUUGCAGAAUUCAGUGAAUCAUCGAAUCUUUGAACGCACAUUGCGCCCGCCAGUAUUCUGGCGGGCAUGCCUGUUCGAGCGUCAUUACAACCCUCAGGCCCCCGGGCCUGGCGUUGGGGAUCGGCGGAGCCCCCCGUGGGCACACGCCGUCCCCCAAAUGCAGUGGCGGUCCCGCCGCAGCUUCCAUCGCGUAGUAGCUAACACCUCGCGACUGGAGAGCGGCGCGGCCACGCCGUAAAACACCCAACUCUUCUGAAGUUGAUCUCGAAUCAGGUAGGAAUACCCGCUGAACUUAAGCAUAUCAAUAAGCGGAGGA
This 352-nucleotide unclassified non-coding RNA is filed under the name soil metagenome. Its description in RNAcentral is "partial contains 5.8S ribosomal RNA, internal transcribed spacer 2, and large subunit ribosomal RNA". The stretch from base 1 to 120 matches the Rfam family "5.8S ribosomal RNA", at positions 35 to 154 of the family's 154-position model. The record is from RNAcentral.